GGUUAGUCGGGUCCUAAGCUGAGGCCGACAGGCGUAGGCGAUGGAUAACAGGUUGAUAUUCCUGUACCACCUAUAAUCGUUUUAAUCGAUGGGGGGACGCAGUAGGAUAGGCGAAGCGUGCGAUUGGAUUGCACGUCUAAGCAGUAAGGCUGAGUAUUAGGCAAAUCCGGUACUCGUUAAGGCUGAGCUGUGAUGGGGAGAAGACAUUGUGUCUUCGAGUCGUUGAUUUCACACUGCCGAGAAAAGCCUCUAGAUAGAAAAUAGGUGCCCGUACCGCAAACCGACACAGGUAGUCAAGAUGAGAAUUCUAAGGUGAGCGAGCGAACUCUCGUUAAGGAACUCGGCAAAAUGACCCCGUAACUUCGGGAGAAGGGGUGCUCUUUAGGGUUAACGCCCAGAAGAGCCGCAGUGAAUAGGCCCAAGCGACUGUUUAUCAAAAACACAGGUCUCUGCUAAACCGUAAGGUGAUGUAUAGGGGCUGACGCCUGCCCGGUGCUGGAAGGUUAAGAGGAGUGGUUAGCUUCUGCGAAGCUACGAAUCGAAGCCCCAGUAAACGGCGGCCGUAACUAUAACGGUCCUAAGGUAGCGAAAUUCCUUGUCGGGUAAGUUCCGACCCGCACGAAAGGCGUAACGAUUUGGGCACUGUCUCAACGAGAGACUCGGUGAAAUCAUAGUACCUGUGAAGAUGCAGGUUACCCGCGACAGGACGGAAAGACCCCGUGGAGCUUUACUGUAGCCUGAUAUUGAAAUUCGGCACAGCUUGUACAGGAUAGGUAGGAGCCUUUGAAACGUGAGCGCUAGCUUACGUGGAGGCGCUGGUGGGAUACUACCCUAGCUGUGUUGGCUUUCUAACCCGCACCACUUAUCGUGGUGGGAGACAGUGUCAGGCGGGCAGUUUGACUGGGGCGGUCGCCUCCUAAAAGGUAACGGAGGCGCUCAAAGGUUCCCUCAGAAUGGUUGGAAAUCAUUCAUAGAGUGUAAAGGCAUAAGGGAGCUUGACUGCGAGACCUACAAGUCGAGCAGGGUCGAAAGACGGACUUAGUGAUCCGGUGGUUCCGCAUGGAAGGGCCAUCGCUCAACGGAUAAAAGCUACCCCGGGGAUAACAGGCUUAUCUCCCCCAAGAGUUCACAUCGACGGGGAGGUUUGGCACCUCGAUGUCGGCUCAUCGCAUCCUGGGGCUGUAGUCGGUCCCAAGGGUUGGGCUGUUCGCCCAUUAAAGCGGUACGCGAGCUGGGUUCAGAACGUCGUGAGACAGUUCGGUCCCUAUCCGUCGUGGGCGUAGGAAAUUUGAGAGGAGCUGUCCUUAGUACGAGAGGACCGGGAUGGACAUACCUCUGGUGUACCAGUUGUCGUGCCAACGGCAUAGCUGGGUAGCUAUGUGUGGACGGGAUAAGUGCUGAAAGCAUCUAAGCAUGAAGCCCCCCUCAAGAUGAGAUUUCCCAACUUCGGUUAUAAGAUCCCUCAAAGAUGAUGAGGUUAAUAGGUUCGAGGUGGAAGCAUGGUGACAUGUGGAGCUGACGAAUACUAAUCGAUCGAAGACUUAAUCAA
RNAcentral lists this ribosomal RNA (1549 nucleotides) under Staphylococcus aureus. RNAcentral describes it as "bacterial LSU rRNA". It matches the Rfam family "Bacterial large subunit ribosomal RNA", at positions 1378 to 2925 of the family's 2925-position model. The record is from RNAcentral. Lineage: Bacteria; Bacillati; Bacillota; Bacilli; Caryophanales; Staphylococcaceae.